Molecule: ribosomal RNA, 452 nt
Filed under: uncultured Alcaligenes sp.
Lineage: Bacteria; Pseudomonadati; Pseudomonadota; Betaproteobacteria; Burkholderiales; Alcaligenaceae
Description: bacterial SSU rRNA
Rfam family: Bacterial small subunit ribosomal RNA
Source: RNAcentral
GUCGACGAUUUGGCGGACGGGUGAGUAAUAUAUCGGAACGUGCCCAGUAGCGGGGGAUAACUACUCGAAAGAGUGGCUAAUACCGCAUACGCCCUACGGGGGAAAGGGGGGGAUCGCAAGACCUCUCACUAUUGGAGCGGCCGAUAUCGGAUUAGCUAGUUGGUGGGGUAAAGGCUCACCAAGGCAACGAUCCGUAGCUGGUUUGAGAGGACGACCAGCCACACUGGGACUGAGACACGGCCCAGACUCCUACGGGAGGCAGCAGUGGGGAAUUUUGGACAAUGGGGGAAACCCUGAUCCAGCCAUCCCGCGUGUAUGAUGAAGGCCUUCGGGUUGUAAAGUACUUUUGGCAGAGAAGAAAAGGUAUCCCCUAAUACGGGAUACUGCUGACGGUAUCUGCAGAAUAAGCACCGGCUAACUACGUGCCAGCAGCCGCGGUAAUAAUCUCUAGA